GCAUAUCAAUAAGCGGAGGAAAAGAAACCAACAGGGAUUGCCCCCAGUAACGGCGAGUGAAGCGGCAAGAGCUCAAAUUUGAAAAGCUGGCUCCUUCGGGGUCCGCAUUGUAAUUUGUAGAGGAUGCUUUCGGGAGCGGUCCCAUCUAAGUGCCCUGGAACGGGACGUCAUAGAGGGUGAGAAUCCCGUAUGGGAUGGGGUGUCCGCGCCCGUGUGAAGCUCCUUCGACGAGUCGAGUUGUUUGGGAAUGCAGCUCUAAAUGGGUGGUAAAUUUCAUCUAAAGCUAAAUAUUGGCCGGAGACCGAUAGCGCACAAGUAGAGUGAUCGAAAGAUGAAAAGCACUUUGAAAAGAGAGUUAAAAAGCACGUGAAAUUGUUGAAAGGGAAGCGCUUGCGACCAGACUCGCUCGCGGGGUUCAGCCGGCAUUCGUGCCGGUGUACUUCCCCGCGGGCGGGCCAGCGUCGGUUUGGGCGGUCGGUCAAAGGCCCUCGGAAGGUAACGCCCCUAGGGGCGUCUUAUAGCCGAGGGUGCAAUGCGACCUGCCUAGACCGAGGAAACGCGCUUCGGCUCGGACGCUGGCAUAAUGGUCGUAAACGACCCGUCUUGAAACACGGACCAAGGAGUCUAACAUCUACGCGAGUGUUCGGGUGUCAAACCCGUGCGCGAAGUGAAAGCGAACGGAGGUGGGAACCCUCACGGGUGCACCAUCGACCGAUCCUGAAGUCUUCGGAUGGAUUUGAGUAAGAGCGUAGCUGUUGGGACCCGAAAAGAUGGUGAACUAUGCCUGAAAUAGGGGCGAAAGCCAGAGGAAAACUCUGGUGGAGGCUCGUAGCGGUUUCUGACGUGCAAAUCGAUUCGUCGAAUUUGGGUAUAGGGGCGAAAGACUAAUCGAACCAUCUGGUAGCUGGGUCUGCG
RNAcentral lists this ribosomal RNA (915 nucleotides) under Penicillium rubens. RNAcentral's name for it is "LSU rRNA". It matches the Rfam family "Eukaryotic large subunit ribosomal RNA", at positions 38 to 961 of the family's 3401-position model. Lineage: Eukaryota; Fungi; Ascomycota; Eurotiomycetes; Eurotiales; Aspergillaceae. The record is from RNAcentral.